Molecule: ribosomal RNA, 1343 nt
Filed under: uncultured bacterium
Lineage: Bacteria
Description: 16S ribosomal RNA
Rfam family: Bacterial small subunit ribosomal RNA
Source: RNAcentral
GACGAACGCUGGCGGCGUGCUUAACACAUGCAAGUCGAACGGAAAGGCCCUGCUUUUGUGGGGUGCUCGAGUGGCGAACGGGUGAGUAACACGUGAGUAACCUGCCCUUGACUUUGGGAUAACUUCAGGAAACUGGGGCUAAUACCGGAUAGGAGCUCCUGCUGCAUGGUGGGGGUUGGAAAGUUUCGGCGGUUGGGGAUGGACUCGCGGCUUAUCAGCUUGUUGGUGGGGUAGUGGCUUACCAAGGCUUUGACGGGUAGCCGGCCUGAGAGGGUGACCGGCCACAUUGGGACUGAGAUACGGCCCAGACUCCUACGGGAGGCAGCAGUGGGGAAUAUUGCACAAUGGGCGGAAGCCUGAUGCAGCAACGCCGCGUGCGGGAUGACGGCCUUCGGGUUGUAAACCGCUUUCGCCUGUGACGAAGCGUGAGUGACGGUAAUGGGUAAAGAAGCACCGGCUAACUACGUGCCAGCAGCCGCGGUGAUACGUAGGGUGCGAGCGUUGUCCGGAUUUAUUGGGCGUAAAGGGCUCGUAGGUGGUUGAUCGCGUCGGAAGUGUAAUCUUGGGGCUUAACCCUGAGCGUGCUUUCGAUACGGGUUGACUUGAGGAAGGUAGGGGAGAAUGGAAUACCUGGUGGAGCGGUGGAAUGCGCAGAUAUCAGGAGGAACACCAGUGGCGAAGGCGGUUCUCUGGGCCUUUCCUGACGCUGAGGAGCGAAAGCGUGGGGAGCGAACAGGCUUAGAUACCCUGGUAGUCCACGCUGUAAACGGUGGGUACUAGGUGUGGGGUCCAUUCCACGGGUUCCGUGCCGUAGCUAACGCUUUAAGUACCCCGCCUGGGGAGUACGGCCGCAAGGCUAAAACUCAAAGGAAUUGACGGGGCCCCGCACAAGCGGCGGAGCAUGCGGAUUAAUUCGAUGCAACGCGUAGAACCUUACCUGGGUUUGACAUGGAUCGGGAGUGCUCAGAGAUGGGUGUGCCUCUUUUGGGGUCGGUUCACAGGUGGUGCAUGCCUGUCGUCAGCUCGUGUCGUGAGAUGUUGGGUUAAGUCCCGCAACGAGCGCAACCCUUGUUCACUGUUGCCAGCACGUUAUGGUGGGGACUCAGUGGAGACCGCCGGGGUCAACUCGGAGGAAGGUGGGGAUGACGUCAAGUCAUCAUGCCCCUUAUGUCCAGGGCUUCACGCAUGCUACAAUGGCUGGUACAGAGAGUGGCGAGCCUGUGAGGGUGAGCGAAUCUCGGAAAGCCGGUCUCAGUUCGGAUUGGGGUCUGCAACUCGACCUCAUGAAGUCGGAGUCGCUAGUAAUCGCAGAUCAGCAACGCUGCGGUGAAUAAGUUCCCGGG